This 538-nucleotide ribosomal RNA is filed under the name uncultured bacterium. Its description in RNAcentral is "bacterial SSU rRNA". It matches the Rfam family "Bacterial small subunit ribosomal RNA", at positions 94 to 630 of the family's 1533-position model. The record is from RNAcentral.
AGUGGCGCACGGGUGCGUAACACGUAUGUAACCUACCUUUGUCAGGGGGAUAGCCUCUCGAAAGAGAGAUUAAGCCCGCAUAACAUGAAGACACAGCAUUGUGAUUUCAUCAAAUAUUUAUAGGACAAAGAUGGGCAUGCGGAACAUUAGCUAGUUGGCGGGGUAACGGCCCACCAAGGCUACGAUGUUUAGGGGAUCUGAGAGGAUGACCCCCCACACUGGUACUGAGACACGGACCAGACUCCUACGGGAGGCAGCAGUAAGGAAUAUUGGUCAAUGGGCGCAAGCCUGAACCAGCCAUGCCGCGUGUAGGAAGACGGCCCUACGGGUUGUAAACUGCUUUUAUACGGGAAUAAACCUUGAUACGUGUAUCAAGCUGAAUGUACUGUAAGAAUAAGGAUCGGCUAACUCCGUGCCAGCAGCCGCGGUAAUACGGAGGAUCCAAGCGUUAUCCGGAUUUAUUGGGUUUAAAGGGUGCGUAGGCGGCCUGUUAAGUCAGGGGUGAAAGACGGUAGCUCAACUAUCGCAGUGCCCUUGA